UACGUAGGGGGCUAGCGUUGUCCGGAAUCAUUGGGCGUAAAGCGCGUGUAGGCGGCCCGGUAAGUCCGCUGUGAAAGUCGGGGGCUCAACCCUCGGAUGCCGGUGGAUACUGUCGGGCUCGAGUGACGGAAGAGGCGAGUGGAAUUCCUGGUGUAGCGGUGAAAUGCGCAGAUAUCAGGAGGAACACCAAUUGCGAAGGCAGCUCGCUGGGACGUUACUGACGCUGAGACGCGAAAGCGUGGGGAGCAAACAGG
RNAcentral lists this ribosomal RNA (254 nucleotides) under uncultured bacterium. RNAcentral describes it as "partial 16S ribosomal RNA". It matches the Rfam family "Bacterial small subunit ribosomal RNA", at positions 524 to 776 of the family's 1533-position model. The record is from RNAcentral.